This 582-nucleotide ribosomal RNA is filed under the name Lactiplantibacillus plantarum. RNAcentral's name for it is "bacterial SSU rRNA". It matches the Rfam family "Bacterial small subunit ribosomal RNA", at positions 109 to 677 of the family's 1533-position model. Lineage: Bacteria; Bacillati; Bacillota; Bacilli; Lactobacillales; Lactobacillaceae. The record is from RNAcentral.
AGUAACACGUGGGAAACCUGCCCAGAAGCGGGGGAUAACACCUGGAAACAGAUGCUAAUACCGCAUAACAACUUGGACCGCAUGGUCCGAGUUUGAAAGAUGGCUUCGGCUAUCACUUUUGGAUGGUCCCGCGGCGUAUUAGCUAGAUGGUGGGGUAACGGCUCACCAUGGCGAUGAUACGUAGCCGACCUGAGAGGGUAAUCGGCCACAUUGGGACUGAGACACGGCCCAAACUCCUACGGGAGGCAGCAGUAGGGAAUCUUCCACAAUGGACGAAAGUCUGAUGGAGCAACGCCGCGUGAGUGAAGAAGGGUUUCGGCUCGUAAAACUCUGUUGUUAAAGAAGAACAUAUCUGAGAGUAACUGUUCAGGUAUUGACGGUAUUUAACCAGAAAGCCACGGCUAACUACGUGCCAGCAGCCGCGGUAAUACGUAGGUGGCAAGCGUUGUCCGGAUUUAUUGGGCGUAAAGCGAGCGCAGGCGGUUUUUUAAGUCUGAUGUGAAAGCCUUCGGCUCAACCGAAGAAGUGCAUCGGAAACUGGGAAACUUGAGUGCAGAAGAGGACAGUGGAACUCCAUGUGUA